ACUUAUAUAAAUUUUAUAAUAAUUUAAAAAUUUGUUGUUUAGCUAAUUUAUUAAAAGUUUAUUUUGCUGGGGCGGCAGAUAUAAAUAAUUAACUGUAUUUUGAAAUUCUAUACUUUUGUGUAUUUAUUUAAAAUGAUCCUUUACUAGAGAUUAAAAGAUAAAGUU
Molecule: ribosomal RNA, 165 nt
Filed under: Philocheras coralliophilus
Lineage: Eukaryota; Metazoa; Arthropoda; Malacostraca; Decapoda; Crangonidae
Description: partial 16S rRNA
Source: RNAcentral